RNAcentral lists this ribosomal RNA (253 nucleotides) under uncultured bacterium. Its description in RNAcentral is "partial 16S ribosomal RNA". It matches the Rfam family "Bacterial small subunit ribosomal RNA", at positions 524 to 776 of the family's 1533-position model. The record is from RNAcentral.
UACGUAGGGACCAAGCGUUGUUCGGAUUUACUGGGCGUAAAGGGCGCGUAGGCGGCUUGGCAAGUUGGGUGUGAAAGCCCAGGGCUCAACCCUGGAAUUGCAUUCAAGACUGCCUUGCUUGAAUUCGGUAGAGGUUGGUGGAAUUCCCAGUGUAGAGGUGAAAUUCGUAGAGAGUGGGAAGAACACCCGUGGCGAAGGCGGCCAACUGGACCGACAUUGACGCUGAGGCGCGAAAGCGUGGGGAUCAAACAGG